GGUAGUCCACGCCGUAAACGAUGGGCACUAGAUGUGGGGGGUAUCGACCCCCUCCGUGUCGAAGCUAACGCAUGAAGUGCCCCGCCUGGGGAGUACGGCCGCAAGGCUAAAACUCAAAGGAAUUGACGGGGGCCCGCACAAGCAGCGGAGCGUGUGGUUUAAUUCGAUGCAACGCGAAGAACCUUACCUGGGUUAAAUCUGUGUCGACCGGCCGUGAAAGCGGUCUUCCCUUCGGGGGCGGCAUGGACGGUGCUGCACGGCUGUCGUCAGCUCGUGCCGUGAGGUGUUGGGUUAAG
Molecule: ribosomal RNA, 296 nt
Filed under: uncultured bacterium
Lineage: Bacteria
Description: partial 16S ribosomal RNA
Rfam family: Bacterial small subunit ribosomal RNA
Source: RNAcentral